GUUUCAGUGCAUGAUGUUCGGGUCCUCCCCUUUCUGAGUCUUUCUCCAUCAGAGGCCCACCCUAUGCACCAUUCUUUCUCUCCAAGGCCUCAGGAGGAAGUUUUUGGAAAGCCAAUUGGAUCUCUUCCUGAUGCAGGAGACAGGUGACUAGAACAUCUUCUAGAGCCAAAGUAUGAAUGUCCAAUGGUGGCACUGCAGGCAGACAACUGGGCUUCCAGUCUCUAUCAACACCUAUACCAACAAGGCUUCAUAGGCCAAACAUGGACAGCAGUCUCAUGGAUUCUCUGGCCCAGUGGUUUUCAGGUGGAGCACAUCCUUUCAUGGAGACCAACAGAAAAUAUUAAAACAAAC
Molecule: long non-coding RNA, 351 nt
Filed under: Fukomys damarensis (Damara mole-rat)
Lineage: Eukaryota; Metazoa; Chordata; Mammalia; Rodentia; Bathyergidae
Description: lncRNA (ENSFDAG00000033629.1)
Source: RNAcentral